GUGCAAUACGUUGCACUAUCGUUAGAUGAAUACAUAGUCUAACGAGGCGAACCGGGGGAACUGAAACAUCUAAGUACCCCGAGGAAAAGAAAUCAACCGAGAUUCCCCCAGUAGCGGCGAGCGAACGGGGAGGAGCCCAGAGUCUGAAUCAGUUUGUGUGUUAGUGGAAGCGUCUGGAAAGUCGCACGGUACAGGGUGAUAGUCCCGUACACCAAAAUGCACAGGCUGUGAACUCGAUGAGUAGGGCGGGACACGUGACAUCCUGUCUGAAUAUGGGGGGACCAUCCUCCAAGGCUAAAUACUCCUGACUGACCGAUAGUGAACCAGUACCGUGAGGGAAAGGCGAAAAGAACCCCGGCGAGGGGAGUGAAAUAGAACCUGAAACCGUGUACGUACAAGCAGUGGGAGCACCUUCGUGGUGUGACUGCGUACCUUUUGUAUAAUGGGUCAGCGACUUAUAUUUUGUAGCAAGGUUAACCGAAUAGGGGAGCCGUAGGGAAACCGAGUCUUAACUGGGCGAAUAGUUGCAAGGUAUAGACCCGAAACCCGGUGAUCUAGCCAUGGGCAGGUUGAAGGUUGGGUAACACUAACUGGAGGACCGAACCGACUAAUGUUGAAAAA
Molecule: ribosomal RNA, 621 nt
Filed under: Leptospira borgpetersenii serovar Ballum
Lineage: Bacteria; Pseudomonadati; Spirochaetota; Leptospiria; Leptospirales; Leptospiraceae
Description: partial 23S ribosomal RNA
Rfam family: Bacterial large subunit ribosomal RNA
Source: RNAcentral